GGGAGCGAAAUUUAGUAGCGAAGUAGCUGAUUUCACACUGUCAAGAAAAGUCUCUAUCGAGGUUAAAGGUACCCGUACCGCAAACCGACACAGGUGGGUGAGGAGAGUAUCCUAAGGCCAGCGAGAGAACUGUUGUUAAGGAACUCGGCAAAAUGACCCCGUAACUUAGGGAUAAGGGGUGCCACCAUCAGGUGGCCGCAGAGAAUAGGCCCAAGCGACUGUUUACCAAAAACAUAGGUUUCUGCUAAGUCGCAAGACGAUGUAUAGGAGCUGACGCCUGCCCGGUGCUGGAAGGUUAAGGGGAUCUGUUAGAGCAAUCGAAGCAGUGAACUUAAGCCCCAGUAAACGGCGGCCGUAACUAUAACGGUCCUAAGGUAGCGAAAUUCCUUGUCGGGUAAGUUCCGACCCGCACGAAAGGCGUAACGAUUUGGGCACUGUCUCAACAACAGACUCGGUGAAAUUGUAAUUCCGGUGAAGAUGCCGGAUACCUGCGACAGGACGGAAAGACCCCAUGGAGCUUUACUGUAGCUUGACAUUGGGUCUUGGUACUACAUGUACAGGAUAGGUGGGAGGCUUUGAAACCAGGACGCCAGUUUUGGCGGAGCCAUCCUUGGGAUACCACCCUUGUAGUACUGGGACUCUAACCAUAGGCCAUGAAUCUGGUCUUGGGACACUGUCAGGUGGGCAGUUUGACUGGGGCGGUCGCCUCCCAAAAGGUAACGGAGGCGCUCAAAGGUUCUCUCAGUACGGUCGGAAAUCGUACGUAGAGUGUAAAGGCAAAAGAGAGCUUGAUUGCAAGACAUACAGGUCGAGCAAGGAUGAAAAUCGGACUUAGUGAUCCGGUGGUUCUGCGUGGAAGGGCCAUCGCUCAACGGAUAAAAGCUACCCUGGGGAUAACAGGCUUAUCUCCCCCAAGAGUCCACAUCGACGGGGAGGUUUGGCACCUCGAUGUCGGCUCAUCACAUCCUGGGGCUGUAGUAGGUCCCAAGGGUUGGGCUGUUCGCCCAUUAAAGUGGUACGCGAGCUGGGUUCAGAACGUCGUGAGACAGUUCGGUCCCUAUCCGUCGCAGGCGUAGGAAAUUUGAGAAGACCUGUCCUUAGUACGAGAGGACCGGGAUGGACG
This 1123-nucleotide ribosomal RNA is filed under the name Clostridioides difficile. RNAcentral's name for it is "partial 23S ribosomal RNA". It matches the Rfam family "Bacterial large subunit ribosomal RNA", at positions 1569 to 2703 of the family's 2925-position model. Lineage: Bacteria; Bacillati; Bacillota; Clostridia; Peptostreptococcales; Peptostreptococcaceae. The record is from RNAcentral.